Molecule: non-coding RNA, 6565 nt
Organism: Nothobranchius furzeri (turquoise killifish)
Lineage: Eukaryota; Metazoa; Chordata; Actinopteri; Cyprinodontiformes; Nothobranchiidae
Source: RefSeq, a predicted model, not a curated record
CCGUCACAGCCGUGGCGGCAGCUACAUGCAAAGGAAAAAUGCUAAAGCUAGUGAAAAUGGAGCAGGAAUAUUAAGGAGCUACAGCAGCUUCACGUCCAUCAGCAGCGUUUGUUCACAACCGUUUUCAGGUCAGCAUGCACUGUGCUGAACAUCUGCAUCGGUGCUGGUGAAGUUGUGGGUCUGGAGGAUGAGCCUGAGGAAGAUGUGUGUGGAGGAGGUCAGUGGUGCUCUGUCCUAGAGGAGGUACCAGCAAACCACCACUACUGUUAACAGGCAAGUCAUUCAGAGAUGUAACAGCCGUCGUCUGAGCCAGCCCAGCGGUCCCUGUAGAUGGACGAUGGAGUGGACAGUGAGAGGAAGCGUCCCAAAGCUCUCUCUGCAGACCGUCCUGUAUGAUGUUCCUCUGACCAGAAACGUCCAGCCACGGGUCUGCUCCAGCCCUCCAUCCACGUCUGGAUCCUCCUGCAGCAUAUCCAGCUGCACUGUUAAAGACUUCCUGCUCACUCAGUUUAAAUAAAUGAUCCAGGAAGAGUCACUCAGGUUAAUCCUGCUUUAACCAUACAAAACUGGUCCAUUCUGGUUUCAAUAUGUAAAUAAGUGUAACCUAUUAUAAAUAAUCUUGUCUCCUUAUCAUCUUUUCAUUUUCUGUUCAUGUAACAUGUUCAAAAAACAUCUGUAAUAAUAAAACUGGUGAUAAAAUCAAUGACCAGAAAGUUAUUAGUAUUUGUUUUAAUAAAUGUGUUCAAAUAUCAAACAGCUAAAUAACAUUAGCAUGAUGACAGUAGAAGGCCUCUCUCCCAGGAUGACCACCAGGUAAAGCCUCUCCUGACCCUGGACACCUGCAGUCCUACAGAGAAAAUCAGAUCACAGGUGACAAAAAGGCAAUAAACACUUUUUUACAUUUAUCCACAUGAGAAGAUAAAAAUUCUAUUCUUCACACAAACUAUUUUUACUUCAUUAAAACGUGUCAGCUGUGUAAAUCCCUGAAUGUAAAACUACUUUUCACAGAAAAACUUCUGUGGCUGUGUGUAAACUCUUCACCUCUAAGCUUAAUAAAAAUACUUCUUUGCUCCGUUGUCCUUAAAACAAAUGACAAGUUUAAUUCGCUACACACACACGCACACACGGGAAUAACUGGGACCCGCGAUACAAACUCGCUCUGGCUGAUUUCUGCUAAAAUGUAAUUUAAAAAACAAAUAUACAAACGAAAAAUGCCUAUAAACUGAACCACUUUAAGCUUUUAAGGUUUCUAUGGCUAGCUUUUAACAAACUUACGUUUAAAACGUUGUAGCUCUCCCCAUUUUCUCUGCCUGUUGAAAAUCCACAGCCGGCGCGCAAAGCAUGCUGGGAUAGCCUUGUUCUGUGAGGAGACAACAGACCCGUCCUCGAAAUGUGGGCGGAGUGAGGACGCGUUUGAGGACGUGAGAAUGAGUAUUCUUGGAAUUCGGACAGUACUCGUCGCUGCGCUGUGACGUCAUCGCACUUUUACAAGCAUCCUUCCCAUGGAUUUGGACACACCCAAUGUGUCUUGAAGGUCUGGUCAGCUAGGUCCAAUGAAUGCCACAGUGGCUGGUUUCCCAGCUCUCAGCCUUUUAAUGGGCGCAGUUUGUAGUAGUCCUGCAAAGCCCGGAUCAUAUCACUUACCUGGCACUGCUUGGUGUGUUGAAGGUGGGUGUGUUUGGGUGUGGUCACAGUUCUGCUCAGCAUGUGAAAUCAAGCUCAAACGGAAAGGUCAGGUGCUCUGAACACACACUGAAUUACUUCAUUCACAGCAGAUCAGCCAGAGCAACAUUUAACAUUUUAAGUAUAAUUAUCAGAUCCAUUCACACUGAUUGCAUUUGUUCAUCUAAAAUUGCAAAUAGUGUGACUUUUUGGUGUAAAUCUACAUCAAUUGGUCCAAAUGGCCACAGCUAAUAAUGUUUCUGGCUGUCUGCAGCUUUAAAGGUGACAUUCCCAGGUGGGUUUGUGUGACUUGAGGUAACACAAUCCCCGUAAUCUCUUUUUCUGAGGCACAUUUUAAUUGCUUACCAGCCUCGAGCUUUUUUUCCCCUUCACUUAAGCUGGAAAGUAUCACGUUCACACCGUUGUCCAUUCAGGCUGUGCGUUUGUUAGCAGGAUAAAAUGAGCAUGGAAACAAUUAAGGUUGUUAUUACUCUCGGCUCCUGCUCUGUGUUGUAAUGCUACCUUGUACUGUGAGUCAGUGAGAGGAGUUAAUGCACCAGAACCAUACAGACAUGGAUGUUUUAGGCCACUGUUCCCCUUGUUUCUAAAGGAUUAAGUCACUUGGAUGUGGUUUGUUUUUCUUCUUAACACGGGUGACUGGUAGCUGUUGUAAUUGAAGCCUGAGGGUUCAGUUUAGGUCUCUGUUAAUGAUUUGACAGCAACUCUGCUUGAAGAGACCUUUGCUUCCAUCAAAAUUUGACCUUAUUGUCUGUAAAGUUUCUGGUUGCCUGCUAAUUUUAAUUCUUUUAAAACUGUUAUUACAUUUGUAUUUCUGGUAUGUAUGUUUUUGUUUGGAUUUUUUUUAUUAAAUAUUUUUUGGCCAUUUGAGGUGUAAAGCUUUCCUUAUUGUCUCUAUCUAGUGUCAAAGUAUCAACUUUGCUGGAUAACUUUUGCUUCAACUUGUACUUGUGCAUUACUUGCACACAUAACUACAGCGUAGAUAAUUUCUAAUAUUUUACUUCCACAUAGACACUCAACCCCACAGUUGAGUGUAGACACGUACUCAGACACCCUACGAUGGAGACUUGCUGCACUGUUUUCCCAAACUAACUCCUGAGACACACAAGGCAAAAAGCCUGGUGCUCACUAUUGUGGGACCGAGCUGAAUAUGCAUGUCUGCAUGAACAGUUUCUGUGACUUCCGGCACUUUUACGUCUGCUGAGUUGUCUUCCUUAAACCACUGGGUAGGGAUAUACAUAGUUAACCGGUUCAUUUCUGUUAAUGCUGAAACUGAUUAAAAUAGUUUUGCCCGGUUAAUUGCUUCAAGUCCUUCUGCUGUACUUGGAUGUAACAUAUUUUGUGCCACUAGAGGGUGCAAGAGCGUCAUUAUCAAAAUGUUUACUGGGCAACCACAGAAGAAGAAAUAAGCUCGUCACAUGACCAAACAAAUGUGCUCAAACCAUGUAGCGGUUAGCAAAGAGCACAGCAUGGGAGCCGUUUAUUCUUAGUUAUUUCGUUCUUGGAACACAAUAAGGUUCGCAUCACAGCGCUGAGCCUGGCAGAACAUGGCACAACAAACUGAAGCGAAACCGGCAACAGCAGAUCAGUCUGCCAUGACGUUCCUGCUUGCGUCCGUCUUCUAAUCUGUCUAAAAGAAUAAGGAAAAGUGUAAAGAGUAGGGUUAGGGUGAGUUGGUUUCCAGUUAACCGGCUAUUAACUGUUGAGGGGUAUCAGUAACCGGUUAAAGAAAUAUUGGAAAACGUGCAUUCCAACUACUGGGUGUCCCGUUGUCUGUCUUUUAUUUUAUUUAUUUUUUGAGGAAGUAAAUUGUUGUUUUACAGCAUUUUACACUAUCUGAAUCUUUCUAAAUAAAUGAGUCCCUAAAUGGGACAAAUAAAUGGUUUAUAAGAGGAAUCAACUUUUGUACUCAUUUACCAUUUUCUUUACAAAAGAAUAGGAAUUUUUUUUUUUUUACUUAAAAGAAAAGUUAGUCUAGAGUGUUUAUUUAAAUAUGUAAACAGUUAUUAUUAAAACAAAUGUAAUUAAACAGAUUUUGGCAAGUUUUUUUCAUCUCUAGUCAUGCGUUUGUCGUCAGCUUUACUGCUCUGUUUACCUAAUGAGCUCUUUGCUGUUAUCCACGCAAGAAUUUCCGAUUUGUUUAGUGUGUCCCAUUUGAUACGUCGCUGCACCUCAGAGAAAGUGGGACAGCGAGUUACAUUCCAACUGCAUGAAAAUCUUUGUGCUUAGAGUUCAAAGAUCCAUCAGAGACCUAGAAUGGAUAAAAAUUAAUUGGUUGCAGCAAAAGGGUCGUUUUACACUGAACAGAUUUGUUUAUUUAAUUUCAUUUGUAUUUAAAGCAUUUUUUUCUUUAUUUACAUGGACAUUUUGUGAAAGACUUCACAUUUAAGUAAGCCUUCUAGACUUCUGGGCCCUCAUUUAUUAAAUGUUCAUAGAAAAUGUCGUAUUCCUUCCUACGAGUGAAGUUUAGAAUGUUCGAACAAACGGGAAAAAUCCUGAUUUGUCAGGGUUCAUGCGGGGUCUUAAAGUCCUAAAAGCAUUGAAUUUAGGAAUCUGGAAAUGAUACCUUAAGUCUUAGUCUUGAAUUUUGACAACUGGGUCCUAAACUUUAUGCUGAAUGUAAGUUAUCUGUACUGUAUUUGUCCUCUGGAGUUUCAUUUGUCACAAACAAUAAUUUGUAUUAAUUAAUGUAGCAUAAAUAAAGAGUGGCAGAACCAAUAAUUGAGAACGCAGUGCAGCCUCAGGUCAAAAUUCUCUGAACGCAUGAUGUAUUCAGUUCCCACGCUACAGCAGUGAUGCAAAACGGUAAACAUAACACAGACCACACAGAGCUUCAGCAGAGGAAAAACACGUAAAAUCUCAGCCAUAGAAAGGUUGACUGACUCCUAGGGCUGGGUGCCAGAACUCUGGACCUCUUUGGGAAAACAUUCGAUAGGUACCGAUAUCAGAAAAGAUGUUAAAAUGUGCCACCGCGGGUCACAUGACUGAUCCUGAGUGACGUUAUGAGUGGAAGAGACGCAUCUCCUUUCAACAACACUUCUCUGCAGUUCGCGGAUGAAAAUGCUAAAAAAUAAAAAAAAAUACCCCAAGUUUGGGUGCAUUUUUCUAAGGUAAGCAGAACACCAGUGAGAAGAUUUGUGCUGCGAAAAUCAGGAAUACCAGCAAGUGUAUGUUUGGUGGAGGGGUCUCAUAGCUGUCAAACUUUUAAAUGGGGACUGUAAUCGGAUUUGUGCUAUUUGACUGUCGCUCCACAAAAAGACCCAAAGCAUGGUGUAGCUCCAGAAGGAUCCUUCCUUUUGACAGGUCACAGGUGUGUUUUAUAGUUUCUAACACUAUGUGAUAAAGCUGUUUUUCCACUGACAUAGUUAUUGGGUAAAAAUAUUUUCUGGAUGAGGAACAUGCGUGGUUGGCUGAGACCUUCAGUAUUGCAGUUCCCCAUUCUACCACUAGAUGCUGUUUGUACGCAUGGUCAGAACUGUUCUUUUAUUUAGGUACAUUUCUACUGACAAGUGCAGAAUGGUAAAUACCACACAAUGCAUUAAAUCAUUCCAACGCACAAAAUACACAUGCAUCUGUUUGUUAGUGUGGUUGAUGCCCUGGGCUUUAAAUCAGAGAUGGGGAAUUGUAGCAUUAACAACUCAUCUCCAUGCCAUGUUUUUCUUCAGCUCAGCAACUAAACCAGGUAACUUCAAUCAGCAGCACAGACAAUGAAUCUUGUUAAGUUGCUGAGCAGAACAAAAACAUGGCAUAGAGAUGACUUGUUGAAGCCACAACUCCCAUCUCUGCUUUAAAUUAUUAUACAUUCUGAGACUAUGUAUAUAUUUUGCAGAUCAUAGGUAAAACUGAAUAAAAAUAUUACGCUUCAGUCCUAAAAGUGCUCUUAAACAAUAUUAAUUAAAGCAGCAGAAACCAUCUAGCUUAACCUUAAACAGCAAAUUGCAAGUUGGAGACUCUCAUUAAGCAGCAGGCGUCUUGUGAGUUAACAAUGUGCCAGAGCAAAUAACCCUGGCUACACACAUUCUGCUGUAUUUUACCCUGACAGGAGAUGGAAUGUCUGCACGCAGGCUCUUUAAUCAGAUUACUUCAUCAGCUGAACUGAAGCUUCAUCAGAUAAUAAAGAUGAACAGUAGCAUUCCUUUCCCCAAGGUUCCUCAAAAGAGAACUUCUAAAAUAAACUAAAAGACGAUUUCAUAAUAUAAGUAAUCAUUUUAUAUUUCAGAAUAAUCCUUGAAGAAAAGAAGAUCUUACAAUUAAUAAUCACUAAAUAUUGCCAUGUAUAAUUAUAAAUGAUGAAAUGUUUCAUGAAUCUGUUCAAUGAUGCUAAGUAUGUUUACUGGAUUAGGUCACUCACACCAGACAAGAAGUAAGGCUAAAUUAAGAAGCAUUACACAUAAACUAACCUUGUUUCACAGACUCAGCAGCUCUGCAUCACAGUGUACGUUCUGAGAAUUCUUUAACUUUGGUAAUAGAUAAACAGCAGGCUAUAUAAACCAGCCGCUCUGCUUCUCCUUUGUUCAGUCCGAAAAUCCGACAGAACGAGAGUUUGGAGAGCAAGCGGAGGCCGGCCACCUCUUAGCAGAUCUCUAACUCAAAAGAAGGAGUUUGACACGCUGUCAAACCCUUAAACCUUUGCACCUGCAAAGCCGAGAACAACGAGAGAUUUUUCCUGCAGAACAAAGCUGAUUUUGCAACACUCCUUCAGAGUGGUUUUGAGACGCUUGGUUUCAUCCAGUCCACGUGUGUUACCUGGAGCGAUCCUGGACCGACCUGGUCGUACUAGGAGUUAGUCUACGGACUUCUGUACCCGGGGUCUCCAACCCCCUGACCUCUCGGAUCCGCAAGGGCAUCUCCACUUGGGUACGUAGAACACCGUUAGAUAGCGUCU